Molecule: non-coding RNA, 102 nt
Organism: Echinops telfairi (small Madagascar hedgehog)
Lineage: Eukaryota; Metazoa; Chordata; Mammalia; Afrosoricida; Tenrecidae
Source: Rfam
GGGGUUGGAAUGUAGAUGUCUGAAACAAACGUGUAUAAAUAAAUGGAUUGCUGAUAACUUAGCUAUUGACCUGGAGACUAGUAGUUUGUUAAAGAAACCCCA